This 765-nucleotide long non-coding RNA is filed under the name Bos taurus (domestic cattle). RNAcentral's name for it is "long non-coding RNA NONBTAT019435". Lineage: Eukaryota; Metazoa; Chordata; Mammalia; Artiodactyla; Bovidae. The record is from RNAcentral.
GUCAUUUACUGUGAGAAAAAUAUUUCUAUAAAAACAUUUUAAAUAUCUCUUUUUUCUAAAUUCUCCAUUCCCAAUAAGGCUAAUGAAUUCCAACAUUUUGUCCAAGACAAAUUAUAAAGGGAUGCUGUUUCAGCUUUCAUUUCCACUUUUAUUUAUUUAUAUCUUAUUUCACGAGAUAUAUUUAAGUUUUAAAAUAUCAGUGUUUGAUGCUAUUGUUCAAUUUAGCAUUUUGUUGACAAUUGGAGGCUGUCUAAUUGUCCUUGAAAUUUUAAUUUUCAAUAUAAUAUAGAAAAACAGGCACUGGCAACUGUAAACUUAUCUUUUGCUUGAGUUUAUACAAUUCAGCAGAAACAAAAGUUAAUAGCAUAUAAAGAACUGAAACAUAGACCAAAUAACAAUUCAAGAGUAAACUCAUUUUGCAGGCAGCAUAUUGUAGGUAAGUAGUAUUUAGCUAACGGAUUUGUGAGGUAUGGUGUGAGUUAUAAUUCUUUCACUACCGUUGUGGCUUUUGCACAUUUCUAAUGUUCUCGAUUUUCUAUUUCUUAAAUAAUUUGGUUGAUUUUCAAAAAAAAUUUUUUAAUAAUGUGAAUGUGUUUUGAGCUCUCUGUGGAAAAAUAGGUUCUACACUAAUUAUUUAGACUAUCUACUUCUAAACAAACUUAAAAUUCCCAAUACAUCGAAUGUAAAUGAAUGCACAGUUAGGAUUUAGCAGCAUGAAAUUCAUAUUUAGCUGGAAUGAAAUUCAAAUGAUGAAUAUACAAGUCA